This 798-nucleotide long non-coding RNA is filed under the name Gouania willdenowi (blunt-snouted clingfish). RNAcentral's name for it is "lncRNA (ENSGWIG00000005610.1)". The record is from RNAcentral. Lineage: Eukaryota; Metazoa; Chordata; Actinopteri; Blenniiformes; Gobiesocidae.
AACCUUCAGGUGUUCAGCUCAUUUGUGUGGGGAGCUGUGGCUUACACACGCUACACAACGCAUUCAAGUGUGGGUUCAGUGCAUGGCAGCUGGACAAGUUGCUGAGAGCAAUGCACACAUUGUUUCACAAUGUGCCUGCCAGGAGAGAGGAUUACAUCACCAUAACCAAGUCCAGUGUGUUCCCCCUGUCUUUCUGUGCCCAUCGUUGGGUAGAAAACCUUCCGGUUGUGGAGAGAGCCUUGGCUGUCUGGCCAUCACUUCUCCUGUACAUGGAAGCUGUGAAAACAAAGAGACUCUCCAACCCUGGGACAGCAUCCUAUGACACAGUUGCAGCAGCCAUAAAGGAUCCACUCAUCUUGGCCAAAUUGCAGUUCUACGCAGCACUUGCCAGGACCUUCACUCCCUUCUUGAAAAAAUAUCAGACAGAUAAUCCUGUGCUCCCAUUCCUCCCCAAGGAUCUCACCGAGUUGAUGAUGAGUCUACUCAGACGUUUCAUAAAGAGAGAAGUCCUCCACGAUAUCACUGCCCUGCAGCUGACCAAACUGGAUGUUACAGACAAGACCAUCUGGCUCAGCCCACAAGACAUCAGCAUUGGUCUAGGUGCAGAGUCGGUCCUUAAGGUAGUGUGAUGUUUUCAAAAGAUCGUUUAACAAAUGGUUAGGCUGAACCAGGUCAGUGAAGACAUGUUCUAUAUUCAUGGCUAAUUUCUCUGUAGAGCAUCAAAGGUGCAGAGCUCAGGGUGCUAGAGUUCAAGAGAGAGUGCAUGCAGGGACUGUGUAACAUCAUCAGGAAAGUGCA